Long non-coding RNA from Gallus gallus (chicken), 1482 nucleotides. RefSeq lists it as uncharacterized. The record is from RefSeq and is a predicted model, not a curated record. NCBI's taxonomy places the organism in Eukaryota, Metazoa, Chordata, Aves, Galliformes, Phasianidae. The transcript is spliced from 3 exons.
AAAGAAUGUUUCUCCGCCUUCCCACAAGGAGCUUGCUGCAGCCUCAGCCAGAAACCAAAUUCUACUUGGAAAAAAUGAACUUACAUACAAUUUUACAACGUGAUUAACAGACAAAAUACGGAAAGAUCCCAGCCUUUUGAACAUACUGGAUAACAUCUCCCAGAAAAUGAAGCACAGCGUGCCUCAAAUCCUGUUUUCCAAAGGGCUGCAGCACACAGGAAUGCGUGAUUCAUUGACUUGCAAUGAAACAUAGGCUUAUAAAGUUACUGCUGAAGGUCUGAGCUAACAACUCCAGUCGCAGGCUUUGGGUACAGCAACCAGACUAGCAAAGAUUGAGGCAAAACCAUAAGAGUGGCACAGCAUGUCAUCUCUUUCAGAAAUUUAUAGAAUCAUAUAAUCCCUGGUUGGAAGAGACUCACAAGAAUCAUCUAAUCCAACUCCUGGCUCCACAUAAGACCACCCAAAAUUGAAACCCUCUGUCUUAGGAGUGUUGUCCAAAUGCUUCUCAAACUCUGGCAGCAUGGGGCUGUGAGCACUGCCCUGAGGAGCCUGCUGCAGUGCCUGACAACCCUUCGGUGAAGAACCUUUUCCUAAUACACUGCCUCUGCUCCACACCAUUCCCUCAUGGUCCUAUCACUGUCACCAGAGAGCAGAGCUCAGCACUGCCUCUCUGCUCCCCUUGAGGAGCUGUAGGAUGCCAUGAGGGACCUCAGCUGUUCCUCAUACACUUUGCCCUCUAGGCCCUUCACCAUCUUUUUUGCCCUACUUAAGCUUUGCAGCCAAGUUUUCUAGAAUUCAGCAUAUGGAUUCAUAACCUAUCAAAAUAUGAAUUCAAUCUCAAUUUUCAAAUGCAUUUGUGAAGGCGAAGAGUGCCCACAUAAAGAACAAAACACCAGUGUGCAUGAUAUCCUUCAGAAGAUCCUUGCAGCUAGCUACAAGAAAAUCAUACUGUAGACGUCACAAUGCAUUCUUUAUUUAUAAGGAAGAGCCAAGGAACUGCAGCAUAACCCCCAGAGGACAAAAUGAGUCCCUACAGCAUUGAAGCACUACAGAAAGCAAGCUAAAGCAAACUAAACUAGGCAUCAGCUGGGAAAAUAAUAAAAACAGGACCACCAACAUAAAACUGCACUCUGUAGCCAAUUGUUACACCAAUCUACGUGCUAUUCUCUUGUCCCUGCAACAACAUACAUAUUCAUUUCCAAUAAAAUGAAUUAUGUAUAGCUGUUCAGACUACUUAAAGUCACUGCCAGGACAAUACCAUAUAAAAUACUAGCAUUUGCUAAUGAAAAAUGAAUUAUUUAAUGUUUUAGAUGCAUAUCCGAACAACUUCAUGAAAACUGGUAUCCUGCAUUUCUGAAACAAUUAAAAUUUCACUAUACUAUUCAGGAAUUAACCACACAAGAGAAUGAACUGAGCUUAUCUAUAUUUAUGGAUUUCACAGAAGUCCAUUUCAAAAGAAACAGCAAGGAGUACUGAAAGAAC